This is a long non-coding RNA of Apaloderma vittatum (bar-tailed trogon), 514 nucleotides long. RefSeq lists it as uncharacterized. The record is from RefSeq and is a predicted model, not a curated record. The transcript is spliced from 2 exons. NCBI's taxonomy places the organism in Eukaryota, Metazoa, Chordata, Aves, Trogoniformes, Trogonidae.
CAGAAUGUCAGUUCACCUUUGAGAAGGCUAUAGAGUACGUACCAUUCGAAGCUGCUAACUUGUGCCAAACCUCCACUGCUGCUACUACGCCUGUGACUCUUACUACUCCAUUCAAUAUAACGUCCUCUGUGGCUUCUGGGACUAUCACAAACCCAGUCACAGUGGCAGCUGCAAUGAGCAUGAGAAGUCCAGUAAACGUAUCAAGUGCAGUUAAUAUAUCCAGUCCGAUGAACCUAGGGCAUCCUGUAACUAUAACAAGUCCAUUAUCCAUGACAUCUCCAUUAACGCUCACCACACCAGUCAAUUUACCCACCCCAGUAACCGCUCCAGUGAAUAUAGCGCAUCCAGUCACUAUAACGUCUCCCAUGAACCUCCCCACCCCGAUGACGUUAGCUGGUCCCCUAAAUAUAGCGAUGAGACCGGUAGAGAGCAUGCCUUUCCUGCCCCAGGCCUUGCCCACGUCUCCUCCCUGGUAAAGAGUUUCUAAACAGUAUUAAAAAGGAUUAAAAUGGAA